RNAcentral lists this ribosomal RNA (478 nucleotides) under uncultured bacterium. RNAcentral describes it as "partial 16S ribosomal RNA". It matches the Rfam family "Bacterial small subunit ribosomal RNA", at positions 355 to 824 of the family's 1533-position model. The record is from RNAcentral.
UGGGGAAUUUUGGACAAUGGGCGCAAGCCUGAUCCAGCAAUGCCGCGUGCAGGAUGAAGGCCUUCGGGUUGUAAACUGCUUUUGUACGGAACGAAAAGCCUCUCUCUAAUACAGGGGGGUGAUGACGGUACCGUAAGAAUAAGCACCGGCUAACUACGUGCCAGCAGCCGCGGUAAUACGUAGGGUGCAAGCGUUAAUCGGAAUUACUGGGCGUAAAGCGUGCGCAGGCGGUUUUGUAAGACAGUGGUGAAGUCCCCGGGCUCAACCUGGGAACUGCCAUUGUGACUGCAAGGCUGGAGUGCGGCAGAGGGGGGAUGGAAUUCCGCGUGUAGCAGUGAAAUGCGUAGAUAUGCGGAGGAACACCGAUGGCGAAGGCAAUCCCCUGGGCCUGCACUGACGCUCAUGCACGAAAGCGUGGGGAGCAAACAGGAUUAGAUACCCUGGUAGUCCACGCCCUAAACGAUGUCAACUGGUUGUU